Molecule: microRNA precursor, 127 nt
Filed under: Paramuricea clavata
Lineage: Eukaryota; Metazoa; Cnidaria; Anthozoa; Malacalcyonacea; Plexauridae
Source: RNAcentral
UUUAUACGUCGAAUUUUGGUCGCGUCGAAUGCAAUUAAGACAAUAGAUAAUGAGAUGAUAUACCUCAUUAAGCUUCAUUAUCUAUUGUUUGAAUUGCAUUCGACGCGACCGAAAUUUGACGUAUAAA